AUACGGAGGGUGCAAGCGUUACUCGGAAUCACUGGGCGUAAAGCGCGCGCAGGCGGCUAUUUAAGUUGGAUGUGAAAGCCUACGGCUCAACCGUAGAACUGCAUCCAAAACUAUUUAGCUAGAGUGUGGGAGAGGAAGAUGGAAUUAGUUGUGUAGGGGUAAAAUCCGUAGAGAUAACUAGGAAUACCAAAAGCGAAGGCAAUCGUCUGGAACACUACUGACGCUGAGGCGCGAAAGCGUGGGGAGCAAACGGGAUUAGAAACCCUUGUAGUCC
Molecule: ribosomal RNA, 274 nt
Filed under: uncultured bacterium
Lineage: Bacteria
Description: partial 16S ribosomal RNA
Rfam family: Bacterial small subunit ribosomal RNA
Source: RNAcentral